AGCAGCCGCGGUAAUUCCAGCUCCAAUAGCGUAUAUUAAAGUUGUUGCAGUUAAAAAGCUCGUAGUUGAAUUUCGGGAUCAGUAGGUUGGUCAUGCCCUUGGUAUGUACUGGCCUCACUGAUUCCUCCCUCUUGAAGAACUGUAAUGUUAUUAAUUUGGUGUUGCGGGGAAUCAGGACUGUUACUUUGAAAAAAUUAGAGUGUUUAAAGCAGGCUUACGCUUGAAUACAUUAGCAUGGAAUAAUGAAAUAGGACGUUUGAUCCUAUUUUGUUGGUUUCUAGGAUUGACGUAAUGAUUAAUAGGGAUAGUUGGGGGCAUUAGUAUUCAAUUGUCAGAGGUGAAAUUCUUGGAUUUAUUGAAGACUAACUACUGCGAAAGCAUUUUGCCAAGGAUGUUUUCAUUAAUCAAGAACGAAAGUUAGGGGAUCGAAGACGAUCAGAUACCGUCGUAGUCUUAACCAUAAACUAUGCCGACUAGGGAUCGGAUGAUGUUAAUUUUUUAAUGACUCAUUCGGCGCCUU
RNAcentral lists this ribosomal RNA (520 nucleotides) under uncultured Glomus. Its description in RNAcentral is "SSU rRNA". It matches the Rfam family "Eukaryotic small subunit ribosomal RNA", at positions 569 to 1089 of the family's 1831-position model. Lineage: Eukaryota; Fungi; Glomeromycota; Glomeromycetes; Glomerales; Glomeraceae. The record is from RNAcentral.